UCAGCAUAUGGAAACUCCCAGGCUAGGGGUGGAAUCACAGCUGCAGAUGCCGGCCUACACCACAGCUCACAGCAAUGUCAGAUCCUUAACCCACUGAGCGAGCCAGGGAUCAAAUCCGCAUCCUCAUAGACACUAGUUGGAUUCAUUUCCACUGCGCCAUAACAGGAACUCCUGGAGUCUCAAUUUUCUCAGCCAGAAAAAUCACAACAGCAGUAUCUCCAUUGCAGGAUGCUUACGAGCAUUAUAUGAAAUCAGAUACAAAAAGUCCCUGGUAAAUGCUUGUUUGUAUUCGAAUACUCACAAAUGAACAACCUAAGGCAAAAUUAACUUUGAAAGAACUCCAAAAAGAGCCUUUCCACAUGACAUGAUGCACAAGUAUGUCCACAUGUAAAAAUGUACAUUAAAGGUCUGCUUGUUCUAUUGUAUAUAUGAAAUACACCUCAAUCUUAAAAGUUACAGGAGAAGUAGUACCUGGCUAGAGACACCCAUGAAGGUUUAUUAACAACGAUGUUGACAGAACCAGUCUGUAUUCUAGCAAAAAACAGAAACAAACAGCCUGCAGGAGGUGAACAAUGAAAUAAAUUCAGGUACUUCCAUGUGGGAGAAUACUGUUUGUCUAUUGAAAUUAUGUUUUCGGAGAGGUUUUAAUGCCAUGAGAACAUGCUCAAAAUGAAAUGGAAAGUGGGAAGAAAACAGGAUAUGAAAACUGUGUGUAGAAGAGAAUUCCAGUUGAUAGCUCAUAUCCGCACAGACCACGACUAGACAAAUCUGAUGAAGGUGUCACCAGCUGUCAUCCCUGGGGGACAACUGUGGGUGGUAUUUAUUUUUCCUUUAUACUUUUCUGUAUUUUCUAGACUAUCUAAAAUGAAUAUAUAGUACUCUAAGAGUCAGAGAAAAAAAACACAUAAAAGAUAAAUGCCUACCGUAGAGCACUUAGAAGAAGUGGUGAUAUUAUGGAAAUGAGGUUUCCACCGAGGUACCGCACUCCAGAAAGUGUCAUGUGUGGGGGUUGCUGGAGAAGAGAAAAACUUUGCGCAUCUCAUCACCAAAGAAAAUAGAGCCUUUGACUCCAACCCCAGGCAGAAAAGCCAGAAACUGGGUUACAGGAUGAUCAAAAAAUGAUUGGCUGAAAGCCCAAGGCAUCACGUAAUUAAGCAUUCUGACUGGGAAAUUAGGGAUAACAGGGAAGAGAAAAACCUUCAGGAUUAUUGUGGUAUUUCAAUCCUUAAGACACUAGAGAAGUUUCCCAGUGAGAAAAACCUUGUUUCUAAACAGUCUUUUUUACAUGAUCCAGAGACUCAUUCAGGGAUCGCCUUAUUGUUUUAUUAUCAUUAUUACCAUUAUCAUACAAUUCUGUAAAAGGGCAAAUUGUCUAAAAUGUGAGGAUGGUUUUCCAGUUUUUAAUUUAAAAGACGAGAAACUGUGAGUUUAUCUCCAAAGAAAAAGAAUAUUAAGUCUCCGCAGCCAGGAGUACUUUCACUGUGUGGGAUUUUUUAUGCUCACAUCCUUCCUCUUGAAAAAAAUCUAAACUGGAAGAUCAUCUUUGAUUUUUGGUCUUUAUCUCUACAUGUCUAAUGAUCCUGAAAGGAUAACAUGAAAGGAGGCCACAAAGUGAAUUACCUUUUAUCCCAGCAAGCCCGCCAUGUGACACUGGGGGGAGGGGCUAUUUAAUGAUUGAGGUGGAGUGGUUGUGGGGAGAGGGUGGAUUAGGAGACCCACAGCCACUGCCAUGGAAGGGACAUCCUGGUCUGUGACCCAUGGGACAAAGCUUGGCACAGAGCCCUAGGCCACCCCUGCCCACCAGCUCUCCCCCAGGUUGCAGCUGGUGCUCUGCCCACCCUGCCACCACCCAGACAUCAGGCAGACUGACACCUGGCCAGGGGCCACCGUGGGCGUGAGAGUACAUUGCAUACAGCCUUAGGAAAAGGACAGGGGUCUCCAGGUGAGGGUGGGAACAUGAGCACAGCAGGGCAAAAAGGCAAGGGGAGCACCUCAAAACUCCAAGGACAGGGCAGGAAAGGGACCCUGGUAAAAAGGGCCAGCUGAGUUUCUAGAGGGUACCUGACAGGUGACAACAGAGUAUGGGUUUUAGCCAAAGACUUUUGAUCGUUUCACAAUUAACAAGUUAGACUGGGGUAUUUAUUCCCUUGUCAGUAAUAUCUCAAUAAAGCUGGAAAAAAUAGGGAGACCCCCCCCAAAAGAAAAUAAGCAUCUUUAAAAUCAGGAUCUGAAGACUGUGUGUAGAGAAGAAGGAAGAGGAUUUCAAGGUAAGAUCUUUAAGUUAGGAGGAAGGCUGGCUCAUUCAAAGAAAUGGGAGAAGGUGGGCAGGGGCCCAACUGUGCAAGGUUCUGGGAGUGGUGGAAAGGAUUUUAGUCUUCCUUUCAAAGGUAAAGGAAAGCUUUGAAGAGACUGUUGGCUCAAUUCUCCCAAGAACAUUUUGUAACUCGUAGCAUCCUAGAUGCACUGAAGAACAGUUAAUUCAUCAUCACAUCAUAGAUGCCUUCGGGGCUAACACUUUCAAGGAAGUGACUGAGAAAGAUUAGUUCAGAGUGUAUUUCAGUAAACUCCUUUUGUUAUUUUAGGAACUGUAUCCCUCAUUCAGGGGGUAGAAGGCUGAAUCUGCCUUAAUGCAAAGCUCUACUGUUCUUCCGGGGUGGGGGCGGGGGAGGCAGAAUAGCCUAGUGGUCACAGAGACUUGGGUUGAAAACCCAACUUUGUCUUUAUCUUGACCUUGGCAAGCCACUUAACCUUUAUAUACGUCUCAGCUACUGCAACACUUACAUCACUACUUCUUCCAACAAACGCCAAGAGAUAACUCAUAAGGAGUUUGGCAUGUGUUUAUCUUUUGACAGAACAUGUACUACUAUAUUACUAGUAUCAAAAAGCAUCUGAGGAAGGACUUCCUAUGUCCUGUGAGCCAGAACUACACUUCUACCUUCCACAGUGGUUGAGAAGCUACUUCAUUAAAACAUAUCUUUAGUUCUUAGCCUUUACUCUAGACUGAGUUACCGCCUCCAGUAAGCGAAAAUAGUUUGGGAUAUUUUUUCCCAAGGGACUGGUGUUGGUCAGUUUUCCGGGCAUGCUGGAUGAGGGAGGUAUGAUGAAAUCUCCAAGUUGGGGCUCAACUGUGGGCAACACAAGGCAGGAGUCUCUCUUGGGGUUUUCUGGGAGGCAGUCUUACAGGCAGUGUCGUGUAAAUUUCUGCUGUACAGCAAAGUGAUUCAGUUAUACAUAUAUAUAUACAUAUAUAUAUAUAUACACACAUUCUUUUUAAAAAUUCUUUUCCAUUAUGAUUUAUCACGGGGGACUGAAUAUAGUUCCAAGUGCUAUACAUAGGAUUUUGUUAUUUAUCCAUUCUAUAUAUAGUAGUUUGCAUCUGCUAACCCCAGAACUCCCAGUCCAUUCUACUCCCACCCACUCCACUUUGGCAACCACAAGCCUGUUUUCUAUGUCUGUGAGUCUGUUUCUGUUUCAUAGAUAAGUUCAUUUGUGUCAUAUUUCAGAUCCCACAUAUAAGUGAGAUCAUAUGAUAUUUGUCUUCUCUUUUUGACUUACUUCACUUAGUAUGAUAAUCUUUAGUUCUACCCAUGUUGCUGCCAAUGGCAUUAUUUUCGUUCUUUUUUGUGGCUGAGUAAUAUUCUAUUGUAUAUAUGCACAUGCUCUUCACCCAUUCAUCUGUCCAUGGACAUUUAGGUUAUUUCCAUGACUUGGCUAUUGUAAACAGUGCUGCUAUGAAUAUAAGGGUCCAUGUAUCUUUUUGAAUUAUAGUUUUGUCUGGAUAUAUGCCCAGGAGAGGGAUUUCUGGAUCAUAUGGAAGCACUGUUUUUAGUUUUUUGAGAAAUAUCCAUAUUGUUUUCCAUAGUGGAUGCAUCAAUUCACAUUCCCACCAACAGUGUAGGAGGGUUCCUUUUUUUCCACACCCACUCCAGCAUUUGCUAUUUAUAGACUUCUUAAUCAUGGCCAUUCUGACCUGACCAAUACUAUUUUAAGGGUAACCUGAAAAGUGGCAGAAAUCAGACAGACAUUAUUCUCUCCAUGGACCAAGCCACAAUACAUCUCUACCCAUUUUAGUCAAGAAAGACAGGAAAACCAGUCUCAGAUAUGUCCCAAGCAUCUAGAACAAUGGGUCCUCCACAUAUAAUUGUUAAAAGAAGGAAGGAAGCAGGGGGUUGGAAAGCCUUUCCUGGCAUUUUGAUGUGGAUGAUAAAGACUGAGAUUGGAACAGAAUAAUUUUUAGCAUCCUGGGACAUGUGGGCAGGACCCACCUCAAUCUCUAGUCUUUCAGGACACUGAGAGUUAAACCCACUAAUUCAAUAUCUUAGUCUGUCUCACUUCAUGGUUCCCAGGGCCCUUUCCCACAUGUUCUUUCAGUUCCUGCCAACAAUUCUGUGAAAUAGACGUUAUUACCCUUUUUUUAGGGAUGUGGAAACUGAAGCUGAGAGAAGUAGUCAAACCAGGCUGCUAGUCACAGCCAUUAGAGGAGCUGUUAAAAUGCAGACUCCCAAGCCCUAGCCUCAGGUCUACGGCAUCAGAACGUCAGGUUUGGGGAGAGGGGCAGGACUGGGGCUCUGAAUUUAUAAUAAUCACCGCCCCCCUGCAUAUUCUCAACACACCUCCACUCAGGAACCAUUAGGUCCCUGGGUGAUCACAGUGCUGGGAGCCCCACCUGACAUCCUCCUCUUGUGUCUCCCAAUUUACUUCCCAGUGUCCUGUCCCUCAACCCACCAUCAACUGUUCUCAUCUGGCAACUUUAUCUGGGCCAGAUUUUAAACCACCAUUCUGGGAACCAAGCCAGCAGAUAGAUUCCAGGAGCCUCUAUGGGGCAACCUAAGCCAGCCUACUUUGCCUCUCCCCGCAUAGUGCAAUGUGCAAGGUAUUUCAUUCAACUAUACUGAUGUCAAACUUAAUUUUAAAAUGGUGACCAAGAGGACCUGAUGGAUUUUAGAAUGGUAUCAUACAUGGCCAGGAAAUCAAACGGAGGUGGGUGAAGGAAGUCAACCAUUUCACAGAGGGCCUCUGGACAGUGCCCAGGGCCAAUCCACCUCCUCCUGUUAAAAGUUGGCAUGACACUGUAAAUUGGCUAUAAUUUAUAAAUAUAAAAUUACACAACUGGAUACUAAAAAAAAAGUGAACGGGAAUAACGGAGAAUGCAUCUGAACAAAUUACUCAGUGUGAUGGUCGUUCUCUAUAUUUACACUGAUGUGUUAUGUUAUUGGUAACUUCGCACUUCUGGUUUGAGGGCCAGUUAACAGUUCCACCUUUCCACAUGCGUGCUUCUCCUUCUCACUUCUAGGUUUUAGAAACAUGCAUAUAUGGUUAAGAAGACAGAUAAAGCAAAAGAUGAAAACACAGAGACAUUUCCUCAAAUAACAUGGAGGAUGAAAACACAAACAAACCGGGGCUAUAAAAUCUAGAAAACAUGAAGAGGGGGCCUGAUCUAUAAACGAUAUUUGGCCUGCUCGCAGAUUUUUACUCAAAAGAUGCCGAUCAUUAGUUGUCGGCAGAAACACACAAAGCAUUGUGAGUGAUGUACCUGCUGUGGCAGAAGAAAGGGGAAGAUCAAAGACCUGCUUUUGCAAAACCUGACUUGAUAUGUUAAUCAGCAAGAGAAUAACAGAAGUACGAGCAAGAUAUUAAAGAUAAUAUUAAAUGAAAACCCCUCAGAAUAUAGUCAAUAGAGUCCAAUUCCUCUACAAUACCGAGUAAUGGGUGAUUUAGAUCUAUAGGAUUAAAGGGGGCCUAGUGGAAAACCAGAACAUUAGAGUACUUUUUGUCUGGGUAUGGUGGUAUACUCAGGCGAAAAAUGGCUGUUCUGGUCACUCAUGCUCCAUAAAGACCC
This 5839-nucleotide long non-coding RNA is filed under the name Sus scrofa (pig). RNAcentral's name for it is "lncRNA (ENSSSCG00050019810.1)". Lineage: Eukaryota; Metazoa; Chordata; Mammalia; Artiodactyla; Suidae. The record is from RNAcentral.